ACCUGAAAAACGCCUAGACGAGUCGGGGAUGGUAGGGCCAGAAGCAUUUCGAAACGGCUACGCGCUGGUGGCCGAGCUUGAGGCAUGCCAACACGUGACCUCUCCCGACGAUUUCCGCGUCAAGAACAUCUCCAUCGCCGACAUCAACGACCACAAAAGUAAGAGAAAGAGGAUCUUCACCGAGGACAACAACAAUCUCGUCUGCGAGGAUUUCUCUCGCACCCCUUCUCCAUCCCUUUCACCGCGACCCCCGCCAACCCCUUCGCCCACGCCGUCGGAUAAGGGAAGCAGCGCCGCUCAACCCCGCUACAGCAACACACAUCUCAGGUCGUCCUAAAUCCAUCCGUCGGUCAGAAGAUUAGUCUCUCCCAAGAUUUAGCAAUCGUUUACCCGGAAAUUCGCCUCCAGGAGGAUGCUGCGAAUAACGACACGGAAAUAGCCCCCGUGGGCACGUCCCUCCAAAAACGCGAACUCAUCACCGCAGGGAUAAUCAUAAGCUCCUUGGUAAUCGCCAACCUGAAAAACAUGGAGCCUUCCGUCACCGCCCUGCACGAGAUCCUACAGGCCACUCAAGUGAUGCCGCAGUUGUUAGAGCCAUUGAAACAAGUGUUCGGCACGUUGCCUGCGAACCAACUGCCCAACGGUGGCCGACUACGGCGGAAGGAUGGUUCCAUCUACUGGAGGGGAACGAUGUUGGAGUUCAAUACCGAGGGAGGGGUCCACGUCUUCGUGAUCAGUCCGAAGAAAGAACAGUACAUUGUCGUCGUGAAUAAGAGGGUUUUCCUGAACCACGAUCCGAUCUGUCAGAACACGGACGAGUUGGGGAAACCGGAGUACCGGACGUGUAGUACGAAGGAAGAGGGAAAGGACGAGGAGUUCGUGUCCAUGUGGUAUACGAAUCUGGUGGUGUGCGUGGAGAUGACCGAAGGAGAGAUCGAUGAGUUCAAGGAUGUCCAGAAGCAAGUCCAGACUGAGAGAGAGCAGCUCUUCAUGCCUGUCCUGGACGCGAUUGAGCUGAGACUUAAGAAUGCUGGACGACUCGGGAAGAAGGUGGCAGGGGUCCCAAUCGAACUGACUCUGGGUCUUGCAAGAGCGGUAGCCGCCGCUCCGGGCACGGUGCAUGCCACGGCGCUGACCUCAGCCAAGCAGGCAGUGGACUUCGCGAAAGGGAUAGCGGCAAUCCCUGGGGCGGUCGUGGACGCGGCCGGAGCGGCAGCGGACAACCUGGUCAAGAACGUGGAGCAGCAACGGAAACGCGCCUUCGAUUUCACCAAGAACGCCUUCGGACGGGCCGGACCGAAGGAGCAGACCGGCGUAGCUGCCGCGGUCAACACCGUGCUCUGGGGCAAGCAGGCUGCGGAGACCCCGCCGAGGUCCGGCGAGAUCUCCCGGCUGGACAGCAAUGCGUCUUCGUCUAGUUCUUCGUCCCAGAAGGGAGGCAUCGCGAAGUUCAGCGGGUUCCUGCGGGGAUCGUCCAAACGGUUCGACGGUUGGAAUAGGUAUAUCCUCGGUAAGUUGCCGUCGUUCAAGUCCCCGAGCAGGUCCAGCUCGAGGAGUCGCUCGCCGAACCGCUCGCCCAAGCCACCACUUAGCAAAUCCAAGUCGACGAGCAAUUGGAAAAAAGCGUCGUACUGGAAGAUACUUCCGUAGUCGCAAAGUGUCCUAUUCACAGGGUCGUAUUCAUAUUCGUUCAUUAGACGGUUCCUUUCUUUGUAUUAGAAGGUCCUGCCCAUAUACACUGAAAACAUAUUGGUAGAAUUUACCAUUCCUUCACGCUGUAUUUCACACAGCGUGAAGGAAUGGUAAAUUCUACCAAUCUUUCAGUCAAUUCUGCCAGAAGAAAGGUAAAAGUUACUGUAAACAGGUACAGGUACAUUCCUCUGGCAGAAUUGACUUGAAGAUUGGUAGACUUUACCAUUCCUUCACGCCGUGUGAAAUACAGCGUGAAAGAAUGAUAAAUUCUACCUAUCUUUUUUUCAGCGUAGUUCUUGUUUUUUUAGUUUAUUGACACCUUAGAUGGUUGAUUAUUACAAAAAAAAUCGUCCUUUCAACGGGAGGGCAAGAGCAAAAUGUCUGUAAAAAACUUAAGUCUAAGUUAUAUGGUACUGUCUAAAAAUAAAGUAUAAAAGAAAGAAAAAGGGAAAAGUAUCCACCCUAGGGCAUGCAUUGGCACUCGGAGGGGUCUCUUUACCCUUCUCACUAUUGUCUAGGCUAUCUAUGGCUAGUCUAUGCUAUGUAACUCUAGUCUUGGCUAUUUAAGGGUAGUCUAGGCUGCCCGUAUAGAGUUUACACUGUGAUCAAGGGAGGUUCAAAAAGCCCUCAAAAUCACAUCUUAAAACGGGCAAUUCUCGCAAACCUUGAGUGAAAUUCAGCAAUUUAACUUUGAAAAUGGGUCCUUGUAAGGUAUUAAAAUGACUUCCCACAGCAAAAUGUCCGAAUAAAUGAAUGGAUGAAUUAUUAUGAAUGAAUGAAUGCUAUGAUUUUUACAAACUUUAAAGUAAGUGCGAACCUACACAGAGAGCAAUUUCAACACAAAAGUUUGGUCAAUACAGGGAGUAAAACACUAAAUAACCCUAGCCUUCGGUUUCCGAUUUCAGGAGAAAAUGCCUGCCAGUUUUUCGUUUGAAGAAAAAUAAAAAAGAAACGAGCUGGUGAACACCAACGUCGCAAUCGGAGGAGUGCAUUUCCCCACUCCUUCCAUUGUUUUCUGAGUUAAAUUGGACGUAUUUCUAUCAAACGGAACUAUGUGCAUUACGACGUGAGCCCUGUUAUACAUGUAUUCUUAUGGGUCUCAGGGCCCAUGUCUUAAUGCACAUAGUUCCGUUUGAUAGAAAUACGUCCAAUUCACCGCAAACUGCACCAAAAUCAACGCAAGACUUGUGUUGGUUUUUAUUUCACCUCCUAUUUUAACCUACCUUUCUUAACACAAGAACACAAAUAUUUUUAUCUUUGUACCUUAAAAUCUUCAAACCCGUAAUUAUUUAUACUGCUGAAUACGAAAAUUCAGCGGUGUAUAAGUUUGGAACUGGAUCUCUUGAAAGGGAUCACAAUGAUCCCCUUCAGGAAAAAUUUCAAAAUAGGAUAGAGAAAUGCUGUGAUUUCAACAAACUACUUUUUUGGCGCAAACUUACCUUAAAAUUUAUGAAACCCGCGGAGUGAUUUCUAUCUUUUUUAAUUUUUUGUAACGGUGAAUGAUCGUAUUCCCUUUUUGAGGACCUUUUCCCAAAGUUAUACUGCUGAAAUUCAAUCGAGAUUAGCAAAAAUUGUUCUUUUUGAGGUGCUGUGCUAAGGGUCUCCCUUCGCCUCCCCUUAAUCACAAUGUAAACCAUAUUGGGCCUCUCAAGGAAAAGAGCCGUUUAAGAAACGGCCAUGAAUACGACACUAAAUUAUGAUCCGGGCACGUACCUGAGUGCUAUUCCGAAUCGCCUUUUAAAGAGUGGAUAUGCAAACCCCACGACUGCAGAGUUAAAAUAGUUAUCGCUCGGAAAUGAAGGGGCUUACUGAAAAAUGCUAGGCAUUGCUCGCAGGGCUCAUACCUUGGAUCCUGAGCGAUGCCUGCCUUUGUACCUGUUUCUAAUUUAAAUAAAUCAAGCGU
Molecule: long non-coding RNA, 3595 nt
Filed under: Bemisia tabaci
Lineage: Eukaryota; Metazoa; Arthropoda; Insecta; Hemiptera; Aleyrodidae
Description: lncRNA ENSASIAIIG011046
Source: RNAcentral